This 230-nucleotide unclassified non-coding RNA is filed under the name uncultured fungus. RNAcentral's name for it is "sequence contains ITS1, 5.8S rRNA gene". The stretch from base 182 to 230 matches the Rfam family "5.8S ribosomal RNA", at positions 1 to 49 of the family's 154-position model. Lineage: Eukaryota; Fungi. The record is from RNAcentral.
UCUCCGUAGGUGAACCUGCGGAGGGAUCAUUACUGAGUGAGGGCCCUCGUGGUCCGACCUCCAACCCAUUGUUGUCCGACUCUGUUGCCUCGGGGGCGACCCGGCGCUUCGGCGCCAGGGGGUCCCCGCUGGUCCACACAACUCUGCAUCUUUGCGUCUGAGUAAACAUUAAAUGAAACAAAACUUUCAACAACGGAUCUCUUGGUUCUGGCAUCGAUGAAGAACGCAGC